RNAcentral lists this long non-coding RNA (4244 nucleotides) under Homo sapiens (human). Its description in RNAcentral is "HSALNT0083490". Lineage: Eukaryota; Metazoa; Chordata; Mammalia; Primates; Hominidae. The record is from RNAcentral.
AUGAGAGUAGGUUAUUUGAUUUAAUAGUGGUCUCUUUGGAUCUCUAAAAAUCUUUGCAUGUGCAUUCAAAAAGUAAAUAGAAAUAGUAAAUGCCAGUUGAUUGAAAAUCAUGAUACUUUUGAGAUGAUACUAAAUUUUUACAAUAUGAUAUAAAUCAGAAUAGUGUAGACAGCCAAUUUACAUAAUUCAACCCCAGAAAAUUAACUACAUACAUUCACUAUGUAAUGACUUAAUUCACUUAAGUUGAGCCAAGUGUCAUAAAUUUGCAAUGAACAUUUUUACUUUUUAAAAAAUGAGCUAAUUUUAGAUUUGUCACAGAAAACUACUAUUCAUUGACAUCGCAAAUUGGAAUUAUUAACAGAAAAGCUCAUUUCAAAUAUGGAGAACAUAAGAGAGUGUAGUGAUUGGGAUGUGUUCUCAACAUCAAACUGUAAGAAGAAAAUUUAAUAGCCAGAACUUGAGAAAAAUAUAAUGGGCUACCCGAUGAAUCACUUGGCAGGAAUAUUAUCAAUGGAAUUAAAUAAUGGCCUACUGUCAGUUUAAUUCAAUCAUCUCUUUAGUUAGUAUAUCAAAUUUCAUUCGUAUAUUAUGAGAGGUGAUGCCAUCAUUUUAUCUGCCUGUCUCAUUCUGACUAUAGAAUUUGAGCAACUUCACCAUUCUUCGUUCUUGUUUUGAUGGUCAAAGUUGCUGAAUAAUUGCUUCUUUCCUCCUUUGUGUGUCUUAGGACAAAUACAGCACAAUCUCAGAGUUAACUUAACAUCCAAACUGUUAUUACAUUCUCUGUCCUCAGUUAGUUGGUAGAAUUAUAAUCAGUUAAAAACAGAUUUAAAAAAAAACAGCUUUUACUGAACAUGGAUAUAUAGCAGUGCUACUUUAUAAAAUAAUAGUGUGGCUAAUAUAAUGGCAUUUAUUUAAACAAUUAUUGAGAUUAUUUUUCUCAUCUCUCCUCAUUUUCUGACCUGAGAAAUACAGUUCCAAGUUCACGAGUGAAUGUAAAUGAAGAAACAGGGAAAGCAUUUUAGAAUUUCUUGAAAUCUGGCACCAGGACUGAUUGUACAUAUGUAUAUAUACACUCAUGCAUGUGUGUGCCUAUGUAUGUGUGCAUAUGUGUAUACGUAUGUGUGUAUGAAUAUAUGUAUUUAAUCAUCAUGGGCUGGUAUAUCUGGUUAGAACAAAGUACAAGUAAACCCCAAGUAAUGAGUAAGAUUCCCUCCAGAUCCAGCUAAUUAUUUGAACAUACCCUUUUCAUCACAGCACGUCACUGCUGCAAACAUUGGAAUGCUUUCCCAUGGUUUACUAAACAAAGUACAAAGCUGUCUGACAAUGCAGAUCACAGCAAAGAUCCAAGUGAUGCAUGCCCUUCGGCAGGAUCUUCCCCACCCUGGGUCUCAGUUUUAUCUUCUAGAAAAUACACGUUCAAGAGUGAGAUUUGCAGCUUCCUCCCUGCUCAGACCUCAUGAUUUUGACUGUGAAACCCAUUCAUAUAACUUCAUUAUUCUUAUUCCCAUGUGAGAAGGUAAGUCUAGUAUGAAUGUCAUUUUUGCCCAAACACUCCUGAGCAUUACAUAGACUUAAUUAACGUUUUGCUUCUUCAGAUGUUUUUUCUCAUGUGCAGGCUGUUUACUAAAGGGCCACACAGCAUGUUACCUUCAAUCCGUAGACAUUUCUGGGAGUCAGCUGCGUGCACUGCAGUUGAAGAUGAGAACUAUUGAAUGCUUACCCAGUGCCAGGCCUGUGUCUCCACGCCUCUCGCCUGUCCCCCCUUAGCACCCUAUGAGGUCGACACUGUGGUCACCCUCCCUUGGCAGGUGCAGAGCAGAGGUGAGGAGGGUAAUGACUUGGUUGGCCUGUCUGACUCGGAAGCGCUGUCUUGCUCACCUCCAGUGUGCUGGGACAGCAGCACAGGAACCACCUCAGAGGUGCUCUGGAGAGAGUGACCAGCACCCACCCUUCCAUGCUGCCAGGGGUUCUUCGAUGUGUCCAGUCUUCUCCUCCCAGCUGCGGGCCUCGAGCAUUUAUCUAAAUGUUUCGCCUCCUUCAGACCCUACCUUGCUUUCUCCUCUCCCACUGUGGGUGGGCUGGCCUCCUACCCCCUGAGAAAAUCAAGGACAGUGAGGAGGAGUGCUGUGGACUUCCCCUCUUUAUCUUCAUCAGCUGCACGGGCAGCUGUGCCUUCCUGCUUUGCCCUGGUCUCCUGGUUAUGAAAGCCAAAUCCCCCACGCAGCUGAGUCCCUUUCCCUCCUGCCUUCUUAUGCUCCUGCACUGUCCUCAACUCCUAUCUCUCUUUAUGUUCAGCUGACCCCCCUCAUCCCUACCCUUCGCUUCACACGCCAUUGACAUAGUUGAGCUCACUCCACCUCGAAAAGCCUCUCCCUGAACUCUGAAUAUUCUCUAGCACAUGUGUGUCCACCUCCAUUUGCAGACAGUCCUGUUCUGUGCAGUUUCUUGUUCCUGGCCUUUAGCCCUAGUGAGCCCCUCCUUCAGAUUUUCCUCUCUUAUUUGUCUAUCAAAACAUUCUUCCCCUCAUAACAGGUGCCCCUCCCUCAAUGAGUUCACCAGUGUCAAAACACCUCCCACACCUUGGAGUAACCAUAAGAUUACUUGCUUCUCUCUCCUACUGAACUUUUAGUGUUUUGAGGAUGGAGACCUUGCCAUAGCACGGUUCUACCUUCCAGCAGUACCAGGCACCUGGAGUCCUGGGCCAUAUUCAUUUCAUGCCCCUAUAGAUGCUGAUUAAAGGCCUUUCCCUUCCCAAUCCCCUGCUAAACUCCAACACAUUCUUGCAGACCCAGGUCAAGUCUCUUCUAUGUACCUUCUGAAAACCUACUCAGUGGAAAUCCUUACUAUUAUUACUAACAUCACUUUUUGCACUAUUUGUCCUCUUGAUCUUUCUCUUAGUGGUUUGUGAAGUUUUUAUAUAUUGCUGUUUUUAUGUCUCCAGGACCUGAAACUGUACUAGGUACAUGGUAGGCACUCAACAAAUAUUUAUUGAAUGAAUGGAUCAAUCAACCAAUCAAACUAUGCAAAAUAAAGAGCAUAAGACUGUGAGAGAGGAGACGAAAGCCUGGCUGGGAGGGAAAGGCCAUAAGGAGUAAUAAGAUAGGAAAGUGUUAGGGUGUGUGGGAGAUCACAAAACAGUAUUUUCAGCGGUCUCCGUUGAGAGUUGACAUCUGCUUUUCCACCCCUCGAAUCUAGGUUUGGCCUUGCAACAGAUGGACCAACAGAACACUAGGAAACACGAUUCAAGUAGCAUCUUGAAAUGUGAUCCUGCAUUGGGGGUCCCCUCUCUUCACUGCACCCGGAACUUCCUCCAAGAAACAGUGGUCUGUGUGGGCACAAAUGAGCUACAGCACGUAUAAGUCAAUGGGAAGAAAGGAAAUGCUCACUAUGCUAGAAGUGACAGUAGAAACUUCCAUUGUGUGUGACUGGAGAGGCACAAAUGAAGGGCAUCUCCCAAACAGGCUUCAUCUUUUGGGAGUGUGAGAGGAGUGACAGUUUAAGGAGGCUUCACAGGCGUCCAUACAACCACAGGAUGAACAGCCUUUUAGAAGUUACUGUUGCCCUUCCAGGAAGACAAGUUUCAUUGCCUGGUACAUAAAUUGAGUUAAACUUGAAGGAUAUUUUUAUGUAAAAGGAAGGGCAAAUAUAUACAAAGAUGACAUUCACAAAUACAUUUUCUGUAAAAAUAGGACAAAAGAGUAAUAUACAAUUAAGACAUUGUCAAACUUUUUUUUCUAAAAUCAAAAUUUUAUACCAGUUUUUUUCCCUUUAAACUAGGAACCUAUACUAUUUCAAAGUGUUAAAACACAUUUAUAACAUUUUCAGAAAACUACAUUUAGGGAAUGUUAAAAAUAUACAUUAGAGGCUGGGCACGAUGGCUCAUGCCUGUAAUCCCGGCAAUUUGGGAGGCCAAGGCAGGUGGAUCGUCUGAGGUAAGGAGUUCGAGACUAGCCUGGCCAACAUGGCAAAACCCCAUUUCUACUAAAAAUACAAAAAUUAGCCUGGCAUAGUGGCUCACAGCUGUAGUCCCAGCUACUUGGGAGGCUGAGGCAGGAGAAUCGCUUGAACCCGGAAGGUGGAGGUUGCAGUGAGCCGAGAUUGCACCACUGCACUCCAGCCUGGGCGACAGAGCGAGACCCUGUCUCAAACAACAACAACAAAAAGGCGUUAGAACCCUGUGGCUUCCAAUGUCCAUUGCAGGAGCUGUGGCCGCCAUGUUCUUCUGGCAUAGCUGGUUACCUUGG